RNAcentral lists this ribosomal RNA (1734 nucleotides) under Salmonella enterica subsp. enterica serovar Mississippi. RNAcentral's name for it is "partial 23S ribosomal RNA". It matches the Rfam family "Bacterial large subunit ribosomal RNA", at positions 1213 to 2925 of the family's 2925-position model. The record is from RNAcentral. Lineage: Bacteria; Pseudomonadati; Pseudomonadota; Gammaproteobacteria; Enterobacterales; Enterobacteriaceae.
GCUUAUGCGUUGCUGGGUAGGGGAGCGUUCUGUAAGCCUGCGAAGGUGGCCUGUGAGGGUUGCUGGAGGUAUCAGAAGUGCGAAUGCUGACAUAAGUAACGAUAAAGCGGGUGAAAAGCCCGCUCGCCGGAAGACCAAGGGUUCCUGUCCAACGUUAAUCGGGGCAGGGUGAGUCGACCCCUAAGGCGAGGCCGAAAGGCGUAGUCGAUGGGAAACGGGUUAAUAUUCCCGUACUUGGUGUUACUGCGAAGGGGGGACGGAGAAGGCUAUGUUGGCCGGGCGACGGUUGUCCCGGUUUAAGCGUGUAGGUGUGUGUUCCAGGUAAAUCCGGUUCACUUUAACACUGAGGCGUGACGACGAGGCACUACGGUGCUGAAGCAACAAAUGCCCUGCUUCCAGGAAAAGCCUCUAAGCAUCAGGUAACAUCAAAUCGUACCCCAAACCGACACAGGUGGUCAGGUAGAGAAUACCAAGGCGCUUGAGAGAACUCGGGUGAAGGAACUAGGCAAAAUGGUGCCGUAACUUCGGGAGAAGGCACGCUGACACGUAGGUGAAGUGAUUUACUCAUGGAGCUGAAGUCAGUCGAAGAUACCAGCUGGCUGCAACUGUUUAUUAAAAACACAGCACUGUGCAAACACGAAAGUGGACGUAUACGGUGUGACGCCUGCCCGGUGCCGGAAGGUUAAUUGAUGGGGUCAGCGCAAGCGAAGCUCCUGAUCGAAGCCCCGGUAAACGGCGGCCGUAACUAUAACGGUCCUAAGGUAGCGAAAUUCCUUGUCGGGUAAGUUCCGACCUGCACGAAUGGCGUAAUGAUGGCCAGGCUGUCUCCACCCGAGACUCAGUGAAAUUGAACUCGCUGUGAAGAUGCAGUGUACCCGCGGCAAGACGGAAAGACCCCGUGAACCUUUACUAUAGCUUGACACUGAACACUGGUCCUUGAUGUGUAGGAUAGGUGGGAGGCUUUGAAGUGUGGACGCCAGUCUGCAUGGAGCCAUCCUUGAAAUACCACCCUUUAAUGGCUGGUGUUCUAACGUAGACCCGUAAUCCGGGUUGCGGACAGUGUCUGGUGGGUAGUUUGACUGGGGCGGUCUCCUCCUAAAGAGUAACGGAGGAGCACGAAGGUUGGCUAAUCCUGGUCGGACAUCAGGAGGUUAGUGCAAUGGCAUAAGCCAGCUUGACUGCGAGCGUGACGGCGCGAGCAGGUGCGAAAGCAGGUCAUAGUGAUCCGGUGGUUCUGAAUGGAAGGGCCAUCGCUCAACGGAUAAAAGGUACUCCGGGGAUAACAGGCUGAUACCGCCCAAGAGUUCAUAUCGACGGCGGUGUUUGGCACCUCGAUGUCGGCUCAUCACAUCCUGGGGCUGAAGUAGGUCCCAAGGGUAUGGCUGUUCGCCAUUUAAAGUGGUACGCGAGCUGGGUUUAGAACGUCGUGAGACAGUUCGGUCCCUAUCUGCCGUGGGCGCUGGAGAACUGAGGGGGGCUGCUCCUAGUACGAGAGGACCGGAGUGGACGCAUCACUGGUGUUCGGGUUGUCAUGCCAAUGGCACUGCCCGGUAGCUAAAUGCGGAAGAGAUAAGUGCUGAAAGCAUCUAAGCACGAAACUUGCCCCGAGAUGAGUUCUCCCUGAGACUUAGAGUCUCCUGAAGGAACGUUGAAGACGACGACGUUGAUAGGCCGGGUGUGUAAGCGCAGCGAUGCGUUGAGCUAACCGGUACUAAUGAACCGUGAGGCUUAACC